CCCUUAGAUGUUCUGGGCCGCACGCGCGCUACACUGAUGCAUUCAACGAGUCUAAAACCUGCUCUGAUAGGGGUGGGUAAUAUUUUGAAUGUGCAUCGUGAUUGGGAUAGAUGAUUGCAAUUUUUCAUCUUCAACGAGGAAUGCCUAGUAAACGCAAGUCAUCAGCUUGCAUUGAUUACGUCCCUGCCCUUUGUACACACCGCCCGUCGCUCCUACCGAUUGAAUGAUCCGAUGAAUAUCAUGGAUUGAGGAUGCAAGUAGGUUAGCCUAUCUUCAUCUUCGAGAAGUGAAGUAAAUCUUAUCAUUUAGAGGAAGGAGAAGUCGUAACA
This 329-nucleotide ribosomal RNA is filed under the name uncultured eukaryote. Its description in RNAcentral is "partial 18S ribosomal RNA". It matches the Rfam family "Eukaryotic small subunit ribosomal RNA", at positions 1470 to 1796 of the family's 1831-position model. The record is from RNAcentral.